AGAAUCAACGCUGGCGGCGUGCCUAACACAUGCAAGUCGCACGAGAAAGGGGAGCAAUCCCUGAGUAAAGUGGCGCACGGGUGAGUAACACGUGAAUCAUCUACCUCCGAGUGGGGAAUAACCUAGAGAAAUCUGGGCUAAUACCGCAUAACACUUACGAGUCAAAGCAGCAAUGCGCUUGGAGAGGAGUUCGCGGCCGAUUAGUUAGUUGGCGGGGUAAUGGCCCACCAAGACGAUGAUCGGUA
RNAcentral lists this ribosomal RNA (245 nucleotides) under uncultured bacterium. Its description in RNAcentral is "partial small subunit ribosomal RNA". It matches the Rfam family "Bacterial small subunit ribosomal RNA", at positions 26 to 285 of the family's 1533-position model. The record is from RNAcentral.